UACGUAGGGUGCAAGCGUUAAUCGGAAUUACUGGGCGUAAAGAGCUCGUAGGCGGUUUGUCACGUCUGCUGUGAAAACCCGAGGCUCAACCUCGGGCUUGCAGUGGGUACGGGCAGACUAGAGUGCGGUAGGGGAGAUUGGAAUUCCUGGUGUAGCGGUGGAAUGCGCAGAUAUCAGGAGGAACACCGAUGGCGAAGGCAGAUCUCUGGGCCGUAACUGACGCUGAGGAGCGAAAGCAUGGGGAGCAAACAGG
Molecule: ribosomal RNA, 253 nt
Filed under: uncultured bacterium
Lineage: Bacteria
Description: partial 16S ribosomal RNA
Rfam family: Bacterial small subunit ribosomal RNA
Source: RNAcentral